ACUUUUAAAUAAUAGAAGUAAUACAUUGGCCUUAAAAGCCAAAAAAAUUGGUGCAGCUCCAAAUAAAAGUA
Nomascus leucogenys (northern white-cheeked gibbon) is the source of this 71-nucleotide transfer RNA. It matches the Rfam family "tRNA". Rfam says of the family: Transfer RNA (tRNA) molecules are approximately 80 nucleotides in length. Lineage: Eukaryota; Metazoa; Chordata; Mammalia; Primates; Hylobatidae. The record is from Rfam.